This 719-nucleotide ribosomal RNA is filed under the name Clostridium sp. 47. RNAcentral's name for it is "bacterial SSU rRNA". It matches the Rfam family "Bacterial small subunit ribosomal RNA", at positions 759 to 1471 of the family's 1533-position model. The record is from RNAcentral. Lineage: Bacteria; Bacillati; Bacillota; Clostridia; Eubacteriales; Clostridiaceae.
GGGUGGGNAGCAAACCAGGAUUAGAUCCCCUUGGUAGUCCACCNCCGGUAACCGAUGAGUACUAGCUGUCGGGGGUUACCCCCCNUCGGUGGCGCAGCUUAACGCAUUAAGUACUCCCGCNUGGAAAGUACGCUCGCAAAGAGUGAAACUCAAAGGAAUUGACGGGGACCCGCACAAGUAGCGGAGCAUGUGGUUUAAUUCGAAGCAACGCGAAGACCCUUACCUAAGCUUGACAUCCCUUUGACCUCUCCCUAAUCGGAGAUUUCCCUUCGGGGACAGAAGUGACAGGUGGUGCAUGGUUGUCGUCAGCUCGUGUCGUGAGAUGUUGGGUUAAGUCCCGCAACGAGCGCAACCCUUGCCUUUAGUUGCCAGCAUUAAGUUGGGCACUCUAGAGGGACUGCCAGGGAUAACCUGGAGGAAGGUGGGGAUGACGUCAAAUCAUCAUGCCCCUUAUGCUUAGGGCUACACACGUGCUACAAUGGGUGGUACAGAGGGCAGCCAAGUCGUGAGGCGGAGCUAAUCCCUUAAAGCCAUUCUCAGUUCGGAUUGUAGGCUGAAACUCGCCUACAUGAAGCUGGAGUUACUAGUAAUCGCAGAUCAGAAUGCUGCGGUGAAUGCGUUCCCGGGUCUUGUACACACCGCCCGUCACACCACGGGAGUUGGAGGCGCCCGAAGCCGGAUAGCUAACCUUUUGGAAGCGUCCGUAGAAGGUAAGCCAA